CCGGGGGUGAUGCCGCGCCGGGGACGCCGCUCUCUCCGGAGCGAAGAUCAGCAGCUGGACUGACAAACGAGUGGGAGAGGGGAGGGUAGCUCAUUGGAAGAUCCAUGUUGACAGCCCAGGUAAGGUUUUCUUCAGCUCCACAAACCCACUAUUCCCAGACUGCUGCCAAAAGGAGCUCAUCCUUACAGUCCCACACCUGCCCUCAAUGCAGUGGGGAGACAGGAACCAACAGAUCACCACUGCAGAAGUGGCCAAGCAUGUGCUCCCCAGCAGGAGAAUUAACAGCACAGGUCUAGAUGGAGUUCAAGGAGCAAGCUCCCACAAGGAGCUGUGCAGGACAUUGUCCCAGAGCAUCUGAGUGAGAUCACCCAGCAGGGCACCACACUAAGUGUUCCUGGCUGCACCUAGAAGGAGCAGGCUGAACCACCUUGAUGGCAAUCUCAAAGAAACCAGUGUGUGGAGGUUUAAUAAGACAUGGGGGCCACCAAAAACUCCUCCUGACCCCCAAAUCCUCACCUCUCUGGAGCUUGUAUACUCCUCCUCCCCAAGCAAAUAAAAUGCUGAUGAAAACGA
Long non-coding RNA from Serinus canaria (Common canary), 573 nucleotides. RefSeq lists it as uncharacterized. The transcript has 2 exons. The record is from RefSeq and is a predicted model, not a curated record. NCBI's taxonomy places the organism in Eukaryota, Metazoa, Chordata, Aves, Passeriformes, Fringillidae.